AAUGAGGAAGCUCUCUGUGUACUGAUGGGGACAGAAGUUCCAGGACAUUUUGUAAGGUGGCUGAAAAACAACACAGAUGCUUCCAGAGUCAAUCACUGAGUGGUGGAUCUACGGCCAACCACCCAUUCUCUUCAGUCACUGAGAUGAUAUGAUGCUGCUGGUCCAAGGACUACAUUUCGAGAACCCCAACCACGCAUGGAUCGUUGUCAACUAUGAAUCACAAGAUUUCCAGGGUUUUGGCUGCUGCCUUCCCUGCAAGCCCUGCCAUCCACUGAGACCCAACCUCAGCCAUUCUUGGCACAUCAGCCCAUGAGAAGUCUGCCACUCUUUCUUCCUAAGCAAAGCAGCAUCCUUCAGGGCCUGGAGCUCCUCGACACAAAAGUCAUUUUUGGGAGGAAAAUGUGGAUAAAGUCACUCCUGGGCCACCUUUCUGUGAGGCUGUAGGGAAGCUGCCUACUGGUUUGAGGAGAGGCUGCUGGGUUCUUUCCUUUACUAAGGAUUCACUUAAGUCAGCCCUCCAGGAUCCAAAAAAGAGCCAGAAAAGAGGCAGCAAAACAGCUGAGGCACAGACUAGACGGUAGUCCAAGGACUAAGACCUGUCCAGCCAGAGGGACCAGGUGUCCAGACCCCGGACUGUUUUCAAUACAGUUAUACAAUGAAAUCAAAUAAGCGGAUGUAUUGAUUGCUUGGCAA
RNAcentral lists this long non-coding RNA (693 nucleotides) under Pongo abelii (Sumatran orangutan). RNAcentral describes it as "lincRNA". Lineage: Eukaryota; Metazoa; Chordata; Mammalia; Primates; Hominidae. The record is from RNAcentral.